RNAcentral lists this ribosomal RNA (497 nucleotides) under uncultured bacterium. RNAcentral describes it as "partial 16S ribosomal RNA". It matches the Rfam family "Bacterial small subunit ribosomal RNA", at positions 28 to 507 of the family's 1533-position model. The record is from RNAcentral.
GAUGAACGCUGGCGGCGUGCCUAAUACAUGCAAGUCGAGCGAACAGACGAGGAGCUUGCUCCUCUGACGUUAGCGGCGGACGGGUGAGUAACACGUGGAUAACCUACCUAUAAGACUGGGAUAACUUCGGGAAACCGGAGCUAAUACCGGAUAAUAUAUUGAACCGCAUGGUUCAAUAGUGAAAGGCGGUUUUGCUGUCACUUAUAGAUGGAUCCGCGCCGCAUUAGCUAGUUGGUAAGGUAACGGCUUACCAAGGCAACGAUGCGCAGCCGACCUGAGAGGGUGAUCGGCCACACUGGAACUGAGACACGGUCCAGACUCCUACGGGAGGCAGCAGUAGGGAAUCUUCCGCAAUGGGCGAAAGCCUGACGGAGCAACGCCGCGUGAGUGAUGAAGGUCUUCGGAUCGUAAAACUCUGUUAUUAGGGAAGAACAAAUGUGUAAGUAACUAUGCACGUCUUGACGGUACCUAAUCAGAAAGCCACGGCUAACUACGUG